AUUGAACGCUGGCGGCAUGCUUUACACAUGCAAGUCGAACGGCAGCGCGGGCUUCGGCCUGGCGGCGAGUGGCGAACGGGUGAGUAAUGCAUCGGAACGUUCCCCUUAGUUGUGGAUAGCCCGGCGAAAGCCGGAUUAAUACCGCAUACGACCUGCGUGUGAAAGCGGGGGACCGAAAGACCUCGCGCUAUUGGAGCGGCCGAUGUCGGAUUAGCUCGUUGGUGGGGUAAAGGCUUACCAAGGCGCCGAUCCGUAGCUGGUCUGAGAGGACGAACAGGCACACGGGGACUGAGACACGGCACAGACUCCUACGGGAGGCAGCAGUGGGGAAGGUUGGAAAAUGGGGGCAACACUGAUCAAGCCAUGCCGCGUGCGGGAAGAAGGGCUGCGGGUUGUAAACCGCUUUUGUUCGGGAAGAAAUCCUCUGGGCUAAUACACCGGGGGGAUGACGGUACCGGAAGAAUAAGCACCGGCUAACUACGUG
Molecule: ribosomal RNA, 484 nt
Filed under: uncultured bacterium
Lineage: Bacteria
Description: partial 16S ribosomal RNA
Rfam family: Bacterial small subunit ribosomal RNA
Source: RNAcentral